RNAcentral lists this unclassified non-coding RNA (253 nucleotides) under air metagenome. Its description in RNAcentral is "partial contains small subunit ribosomal RNA, internal transcribed spacer 1, and 5.8S ribosomal RNA". The stretch from base 1 to 46 matches the Rfam family "Eukaryotic small subunit ribosomal RNA", at positions 1786 to 1831 of the family's 1831-position model. The record is from RNAcentral.
AAGUCGUAACAAGGUUUCCGUAGGUGAACCUGCGGAAGGAUCAUUACCGAGUUGAUUCGAGCUCCGGCUCGACUCUCCCACCCUAUGUGUACCUACCUCUGUUGCUUUGGCGGGCCGCGGUCCUCCGCACCGGCGCCCUUCGGGGGGCUGGCCAGCGCCCGCCAGAGGACCAUAAAACUCCAGUCAGUGAACUUCGCAGUCUGAAAAACAAGUUAAUAAACUAAAACUUUCAACAACGGAUCUCUUGGUUCUG